GUGAUUAUUUCAUAUAUGACGAAAAAUAUGUACAUCUUUGAAUACUGUAGUAGAAAUACAUGUACAAUUUUGGUUAUUUGGUAAUCCUGACAAUAAACCUAAUUUUUGAUUUGAUUUGGAAUUUUGAUGCAAUCCUGAGUUAAUUGGUAAUCCUGACACUAAACUUGAUUUAUUAUAUAAUAACAGAAUUUUGAUGCAAUCCUAAGAUAAUUGGUAAUCCAGACAAUAAACCUGAUUUAUGAUAUAAUGACUACGGAAUUUUGAUGUAAUCCUGACAAACCUGAUUUAUGAUAUAAUGACGGAAUUUUUAUACAAUCGUGAGUAAGAUGGUAAUCCUGACCACAACCCUGAUAUAUGAUAUAAAACAUAAUGUAUGCGAAAAAACCUCAAGUUAUACGAUAGUUCGUAUCGGUCGAAUUUAUUUGUGAAAAACGCGAAUAAAUUUCUGACUAUUUGCCAUAACAAUAUUUGGAUGCACGCAUAUACUCGGCUCAGGAAAUAUUUUAAAUUUGAACAUGACAAAAAAAAAGUAUACAUAUAGUAUACACUUACAGCUACCUUUUCGAUAAAAAUUUAAAAUGUACUAUACCUUGGAGAAAAUUGCGCGAAACACCAUAAUUUUUUCGAAAAUUUUUGCAAAUAACAAGUAACUUUGGCGCUGAAAGGGUUAUUACAGCCGAUGAGGAAAUUGCGUUACGUCUCUGCAAUGUGCUGCUGCCAAUGAACGAAUUAGAAAGGAUAACACGCAUAUAUUCAUGGGCAUAUGAGCAACGUAGCAUGCUAUGACAUGGCGAUCACGAUAUGGAUACUGGAGCCAGCAGAGUUUGAUCAUGACAGAAAGGUGCACCGAGCCCCAAUUUUUCAUUUGUUUAUUGCUGAAUGCAAGCUAUAUGUUCGAAUUUCGAAGAUUUGACCAACUUCCCAACUCGGCGCUUGCGCAUAUCGCAUGUGAACAUCACACACACAUACACACACAUCGAGGAGACGUUUAUCAAAAACUAUGCGCCCACAAAAUGCGUAAUCACUACUUCAAGCCUACUUUUAGGCGAUAUAAAUUUCUUGUCAUAGUUCUCUGCGCUCCAUAUAUCGGCUUCGCGUCUCGGUUUGAAAGCUUCUUGUUGCAUUGAUUGAAGGAAAGAUCACAUGUUGAGAACGAACAACGGCUCGUCAAAAUUGCGGCAAUUAAGAACUACAAAAAUAAACAGAAGACGAACUUUUACAACUAAAA
Rhagoletis zephyria (snowberry fruit fly) is the source of this 1228-nucleotide long non-coding RNA. RefSeq lists it as uncharacterized. The record is from RefSeq and is a predicted model, not a curated record. NCBI's taxonomy places the organism in Eukaryota, Metazoa, Arthropoda, Insecta, Diptera, Tephritidae.